RNAcentral lists this non-coding RNA (29 nucleotides) under Arabidopsis thaliana (thale cress). Lineage: Eukaryota; Viridiplantae; Streptophyta; Magnoliopsida; Brassicales; Brassicaceae. The record is from RNAcentral. RNAcentral also lists the same sequence under 1 other name.
ACACGGACCAAGGAGUCUGACAUGUGUGC